CCGCCUCGGCUCCGGCGGAGUCCGCCCUCCUCGGCUGCCCGCGCGGCUCCCUGAGACACACGGCGCCCCCUGCAGAAGCCAGGACAGGGUCCCUGCUUGAGGGUCAGCGGGCCGGCGACCCUGGUUCCAUCGGCAAAGCCCCUUCACAGCAGGACCUCGAUUAGCGUUUGAACGACAGGGAACGGGGAUCCUGGGGGCAGCGACACUUCCGCCUGCACCCUCUCCUCCCGCUGCCCUCUACGAACUCGAACUCGCUUUCAGCUUAGUUUUCUUCUUUGCAUGAUGGAGAUCCGAACAUUGUAACACAAACCUCCCCUCCCUCCCCCUCCCGCUUUGAGGGGCGGCGGGAGGAGCGCGGGCGCGGCGGGAGGGAGGCCGGGGCCGGGCGAGGCGGCCGCUCCCGGAGCCGCGGCCACAGCUCAGCGACGGGAGAGCCCGGAGAGGCUCUAACUCGGGACAGGUGGCUUCUGGGGGACGCACGAACUCGCCGUCAGCUCGGACGACGCCCGUCCUGAAGUCCCACCCCCCCCGGCUCCGCGCGCAGAGCCCCAGGCAGGAGCACGCUGCGUCUCCGUCUGAUGGGACCGGAUGCGCGCGGGGACAGCUCCCGGCACCCGCUCCGUCCUCGUCUAACCGGCCGGGGUGUGCGCAGGGCUGGGCCCGCAGGGCGGCCAGGGGACGAGGACCGUCCUGAAAACAGGCGCAGUCUCCCAGACUCCCCACGCCGAAGACGCUCGGCCACACGCGCAUGCACACACACCGCACACACAACAUACGCACAUAGACACUGCGAACACUCAACAUACCCCCCAUACGGACACACCACACACCACAUACACACAUACCACGUACACACCCCUCACACACACACACACACACACACCACACACCACAUACACACGCAUAUCACAUGCACACACGCAUACCACGCCACUCACUCACACACACCUCUUAACAGAAGAUCAGCUAGAAACUUUCAGAUCAGGAAAACAACGUGCAAAAAUGGUACCAUUUUCUCACAGGACUGGGUUCAUAAGGAAUUCCUUCUAAAGACAGGCGCUUCUCUCCCAGGAAGCGCCCGUGCCCUGAGAGGAGGACCCCGCAGCCCCGCACGCCCCGCGGCCUGUCCAGUGAGAAGCAGCUGGUCCUCGUGGGCCCGCCGUGUUUGUCGUCAGCUCUUCAGACUCGGGUGUAGACAGCCCCGCCCGGAGCUGAGGGCCCUGCCUGCUCCCCAGCCCAGCCCCUGGUCACAGAGCCAGAACUUUCUGCUGCUCAAGUCUGGAUUCGGCCGACAUCCACGAAGGAAGCAGAGGAUGCUGCGGAUCCUAGAGAAGCUGGGGAGCGCACCCCCGCCCUGGGCGAGGGCCGGCGCGGCUCCAGGACCGGCUUCCAGACGGAAGGGGUGCGGCGCGGUCGGCCUACUACGCGGUCGGGCUUCCGGAGGGCACAGGCAGCCGCGCCGGUGUAGCCCUGCGAGGACGGGGAGACUCCCCAGGGCUCCCCUCCGAUGCUCUCACCGUCUUUCUCAUCUGCAUCCACGGGGCCUUGACAACCUUGCUGAGCGUUCGUCUCAGAAAAGCAACUGUGAGCCCUCAGCCAAAUCCAGGGUGUGCUCCCCUUGGGACUCAGAGAGCCAGCAGUGGCGCAGCAGGUGCUGACCCAACUGGAGGGGACGGGGGUCAAGGCCCCCACUGUCCUUCUGGGGGACAGAAAGGAGGCCGCCUGCCUCGCAGAUUCCCCAAAGGUGAGCGGGACGCGGACUCUGGCCUGGAAAAGAAGGCAAGGGGAGGCGUGUGAUGGGGGAUAACACUGUAAACGGAGCUAUGCCUGAGAAGCUACACGUGAUGGAGCAGAAGGCCAUCCUGCUACAGUUUCUGAGUUAGUGAGGGUCCUGAGCUUAGACUUAAGUGUUCACUGUAUUUGUUCCUUGAGGAUAAUAAGCAAAAUGGCAGGCCCAUGUCUGUAAGCCAUUCUUGAACCAUAUUGGCCAUGAAAUGUACUCCUUGGUGAGAUACCGUGGAAUCUGGGGUGAUAACUUUGUAAAACCCCCAAUGGCAGUUCUCAAUAGCCACUUUCCUGCUUCACUUGAAUAAGAAUCAACUGAUUUUCCAACAAUUUAUUAGCUGUGUGAUCUUUAGCAAGUUAGUUUCCACAUCUAUAAAAUGGGGGUAAUAUAUAUAUCACAGGGUUGUUGUGAGGAUUAAACAGGCAUAUAUACAAAGCACACAAAUCAGUGCCUGUGGUCUGGUAGGCACUCUGUCAAUGCUAGCCUCAUCAUCAAAGCAAGAAGUCUAUUCACUCUAAGUAUCACACUGGCGUGCUUUGGAGUGGGCUCACUAAAAGCCUUUGUAAGUUUGAUGGGCUUAUCCCAAAGAGACAGUGAAACUUCCCAUAUCACUUUAACCAGCAGUAAAGCCAUGUAGGAUCCUAGAGCUGUCUUCCCUGUUUAGGAUGCUUUAUGCUUUUGAGUUUGGUAUACAAACUCUAAGAAUUAUCCAUAACGGAUGUGUUCGACAAGGCAGGCAAGAGUGCACCUUGUUCACAUGGCUACAGAGGCAGCUCCCCAGCUUUCCAGUUCACAACUACUGCACUCACCCCCAGAAUUACACACCUCUGGGGAUGACAUGAGCUACGCUUAAUCAACCAACGAAUAAAAACGUCUCUAUAAAAAUUUAGCCAACCACUCAAUUAUAAACUAAUACAAAUACAAAGUUGAAGUGUUUAGGCCAUCUUAUUUUUGUUUUGUAUUUUAAAAUAUUAUAUUCCUCUAAUAAAAUUGAAUCCAGAGAAACAGAUAAUUGUGGGCUUAUUUCUAAAAUGUAUUUCUUGGUCCUUCGGGUUAAAGUGAUAAUGAAGCUACAGAAUAAACUAUCUUCCCA
Long non-coding RNA from Equus caballus (horse), 2879 nucleotides. The record is from Ensembl. NCBI's taxonomy places the organism in Eukaryota, Metazoa, Chordata, Mammalia, Perissodactyla, Equidae.